ACCGCUCGUGGGCGUGGUCACUGGAUGGGUGCGGUCCCUUGUGGGCGUGGUCGGAGCUGGCGAGGCCCCGCCCACUGCCCAGCGGAGCGAGCGGAGCUGCCGGAGCCGCGGGACCCCCGAGCGCGGCCCCACCAUGAAUUUCCUCCCGGCCGCCGUCACCGCCCUUCAUCUCCUCGUGCUCCUCCUCUUCUUCAUCGCCACCCUGGAUAAGGGCUGGUGGGUGCUGCCAGAUUCUCAGGGACUCAACCUCUGGUACGACUGCGCCCCCCAAAAUCGCUCCCAGGGCUGGGAGUGCAGCAGCCUCGGGCUCAGCCCCCUGCUCAGGGGUGUCCAGGGCCUCGUGGUC
Molecule: long non-coding RNA, 346 nt
Organism: Catharus ustulatus (Swainson's thrush)
Lineage: Eukaryota; Metazoa; Chordata; Aves; Passeriformes; Turdidae
Exons: 4
Source: RefSeq, a predicted model, not a curated record